This 497-nucleotide ribosomal RNA is filed under the name uncultured bacterium. RNAcentral's name for it is "partial 16S ribosomal RNA". It matches the Rfam family "Bacterial small subunit ribosomal RNA", at positions 28 to 507 of the family's 1533-position model. The record is from RNAcentral.
GAUGAACGAUGGCGGCGUGCCUAAUACAUGCAAGUCGAGCGAACGGACGAGAAGCUUGCUUUUCUGAUGUUAGCGGCGGACGGGUGAGUAACACGUGGAUAACCUACCUAUAAGACUGGGAUAACUUCGGGAAACCGGAGCUAAUACCGGAUAAUAUUUUGAACCGCAUGGUUCAAAAGUGAAAGACUGUCUUGCUGUCACUUAUAGAUGGAUCCGCGCUGCAUUAGCUAGUUGGUAAGGUAACGGCUUACCAAGGCAACGAUGCAUAGCCGACCUGAGAGGGUGAUCGGCCACACUGGAACUGAGACACGGUCCAGACUCCUACGGGAGGCAGCAGUAGGGAAUCUUCCGCAAUGGGCGAAAGCCUGACGGAGCAACGCCGCGUGAGUGAUGAAGGUCUUCGGAUCGUAAAACUCUGUUAUUAGGGAAGAACAUAUGUGUAAGUAACUGUGCACAUCUUGACGGUACCUAAUCAGAAAGCCACGGCUAACUACGUG